AUCCUCUCUGUCAAUUUUUCAGAGGAACAUGCCAUUUCCCAGCAACUACAAAGUGUGCCCAUGGAGAAUGGACAGGAAACUUAUGUGGCCCUAAUGGAGUCUGCUGUAGGAGAAAAUCUGGGGUGUGUCGACAAAGGGGAGGAUUUUGCCAGGCCCCAGUCACCAUGGAAUGUACCUUUGGUGAGAAUCCAUGGGCCUCCUGUGGCCCUAAUGCACGCUGCUGUAAUAGAAACCGCAAUUCAUCAUAAAGACCAUGAAAGAAAAUAGAAAAUGCCAAAGAAAAUGAUACAGAAG
Molecule: non-coding RNA, 294 nt
Organism: Zootoca vivipara (common lizard)
Lineage: Eukaryota; Metazoa; Chordata; Lepidosauria; Squamata; Lacertidae
Source: RefSeq, a predicted model, not a curated record